This is a small nucleolar RNA of Lathyrus oleraceus (garden pea), 89 nucleotides long. RefSeq annotates it as small nucleolar RNA R16. Lineage: Eukaryota; Viridiplantae; Streptophyta; Magnoliopsida; Fabales; Fabaceae. The record is from RefSeq and is a predicted model, not a curated record. The transcript has a single exon.
GUUCGCAAAUGAUGUUAAAAAUUAUUUUAUGCUUAACACUGAUUUAAUUCCGUGAAGAUAAAAAACUCCGCUUAUUAUCUGAUGCAAUC